RNAcentral lists this ribosomal RNA (478 nucleotides) under Cryptococcus sp. LCF-27. Its description in RNAcentral is "eukaryotic LSU rRNA". The stretch from base 106 to 259 matches the Rfam family "5.8S ribosomal RNA". The record is from RNAcentral. Lineage: Eukaryota; Fungi; Basidiomycota; Tremellomycetes; Tremellales; Cryptococcaceae.
UUAGAGAGAAUAACAUAACAAACCAUUGUGAAUAAGACGUUCGCGUCUGGCGUUCGCGCCGUUACAAACUUAGCUUGGUCAGAAUGUAAAACUGUAACAAAAUACAACUUUCAACAACGGAUCUCUUGGCUCUCGCAUCGAUGAAGAACGCAGCGAAAUGCGAUAAGUAAUGUGAAUUGCAGAACACAGUGAAUCAUCGAAUCUUUGAACGCACCUUGCACCCUCUGGUAUUCCGGAGGGUAUGCCUGUCUGAGUGUCAUGUAGACUCAACCUUUCGGGUUCUACCCGGCUGGUUGGAUUUGGGCGUUGCCUAUUGCUGGCUCGCCUUAAAAGCGUUAGUGGUGUGAUGGGUGGCCUGGCGUAAUACGUUUCGUCGAGUUUACUUUGUAGCACUGCUCAUAACAACCAUACUUGUAACUCUGGCCUCAGAUCAGGUAGGACUACCCGCUGAACUUAAGCAUAUCAAUAAGCGGAGGAA